RNAcentral lists this ribosomal RNA (481 nucleotides) under uncultured bacterium. Its description in RNAcentral is "partial 16S ribosomal RNA". It matches the Rfam family "Bacterial small subunit ribosomal RNA", at positions 28 to 523 of the family's 1533-position model. The record is from RNAcentral.
GACGAACGCUGGCGGCGUGCUUAACUCAUGCAAGUCGAACGAUGAAGGAGAGCUUGCUCUCCGGAUUAGUGGCGAACGGGUGAGUAACACGUGACUAACCUGCCCCUUUCUCUGGGAUAACGCUCCGAAAGGAGUGCUAAUACCGGAUACGAACUCUGAACACAUGUUCGGAGUUGGAAAGUUUUUCGGAAAGGGAUGGAGUCGCGGCCUAUCAGCUUGUUGGUGAGGUAACGGCUCACCAAGGCGACGACGGGUAGCCGGCCUGAGAGGGCGACCGGCCACACUGGGACUGAGACACGGCCCAGACUCCUACGGGAGGCAGCAGUGGGGAAUAUUGCACAAUGGGCGAAAGCCUGAUGCAGCGACGCCGCGUGAGGGAUGAAGGUCUUCGGAUUGUAAACCUCUUUCAGUAGGGACGAAGCGAAAGUGACGGUACCUAAAGAAGAAGCACCGGCUAACUACGUGCCAGCCGCCGCUGUAA